This 425-nucleotide ribosomal RNA is filed under the name uncultured bacterium. Its description in RNAcentral is "bacterial SSU rRNA". It matches the Rfam family "Bacterial small subunit ribosomal RNA", at positions 356 to 773 of the family's 1533-position model. The record is from RNAcentral.
GGGGAAUAUUGGACAAUGGGCGAAAGCCUGAUCCAGCCAUGCCGCGUGUGUGAAGAAGGCCUUCGGGUUGUAAAGCACUUUAAGCGGGGAGGAAGGGCUUCUGGCUAAUAUCCAGGAGCAUUGACGUUACCCGCAGAAUAAGCACCGGCUAACUCUGUGCCAGCAGCCGCGGUAAUACAGAGGGUGCAAGCGUUAAUCGGAAUUACUGGGCGUAAAGCGCGCGUAGGCGGUUUGUUAAGUCGGAUGUGAAAUCCCCGGGCUCAACCUGGGCACUGCAUCCGAUACUGGCUGACUAGAGUGUGGGAGAGGAAGGUAGAAUUCCAGGUGUAGCGGUGAAAUGCGUAGAGAUCUGGAGGAAUACCGAUGGCGAAGGCAGCCUUCUGGCCUGACACUGACGCUGAGGUGCGGAAGCAUGGGGAGCAAAC